UGAGUAAAGCGGCGCACGGGUGAGUAACACGUGGGUAAUCUGCCCUGGAGUGGGGAAUAACACCGGGAAACCGGUGCUAAUACCGCAUACCAUCCGCAAGGAUGAAAGGAGCAAUUCGCUCUAGGAGGAGCCCGCGGCUGAUUAGCUAGUUGGUGAGGUAAUGGCCCACCAAGGCUACGAUCAGUAUCCGGUCUGAGAGGACGGUCGGACACACUGGAACUGAGACACGGUCCACACUCCUACGGGAGGCAGCAGCGGGGAAUUUUUCGCAAUGGGGGCAACCCUGACGAAGCAACGCCGCGUGGGUGAUGAAGUCUCUUGGGACGUAAAACCCUUUCGACGGGGAAGAAACCGCAAGGUUGACGGUACCCGUACAAGAAGCCCCGGCUAACUCCGUGCCAGCAGCCGCGGUAAUACGGGGGGGGCAAGCGUUGUUCGGAAUUACUGGGCGUAAAGGGUGCGUAGGCGGCUCGUUAAGUUAGAUGUGAAAACUCUGGGCUCAACCCAGAGCCUGCAUCUAAAACUGGCGGGCUAGAGUUCUGGAGGGGGUAGCGGAAUUCCUGGUGUAGCGGUGAAAUGCGUAGAUAUCAUGAGGAACACCGGUGGCGAAAGCGGCUACCUGGACAGAAACUGACGCUGAGGCACGAAAGCUAGGGGAG
This 659-nucleotide ribosomal RNA is filed under the name uncultured bacterium. RNAcentral's name for it is "bacterial SSU rRNA". It matches the Rfam family "Bacterial small subunit ribosomal RNA", at positions 87 to 768 of the family's 1533-position model. The record is from RNAcentral.